GACGAACGCUGGCGGCGUGCCUAAUACAUGCAAGUCGAGCGGACCAAAGGGAGCUUGCUCCUGGAGGUUAGCGGCGAACGGGUGAGUAACACGUGGGCAACCUGCCUGUAAGACUGGGAUAACAUCGAGAAAUCGGUGCUAAUACCGGAUAAUAAAAAGAACUGCAUGGUUCUUUUUGAAAGAUGGUUUCGGCUAUCACUUACAGAUGGGCCCGCGGCGCAUUAGCUAGUUGGUGAGGUAACGGCUCACCAAGGCGACGAUGCGUAGCCGACCUGAGAGGGUGAUCGGCCACACUGGGACUGAGACACGGCCCAGACUCCUACGGGAGGCAGCAGUAGGGAAUCUUCCGCAAUGGACGAAAGUCUGACGGAGCAACGCCGCGUGAGUGAUGAAGGUUUUCGGAUCGUAAAACUCUGUUGUUAGGGAAGAACAAGUGCCGUUCGAAAGGGCGGCACCUUGACGGUACCUAACGAGAAAGCCACGGCUAACUACGUGCCAGCAGCCGCGGU
RNAcentral lists this ribosomal RNA (509 nucleotides) under uncultured bacterium. Its description in RNAcentral is "bacterial SSU rRNA". It matches the Rfam family "Bacterial small subunit ribosomal RNA", at positions 28 to 521 of the family's 1533-position model. The record is from RNAcentral.